AGCCUGAACUUUCUCAUCUAACACCUGUUCAAGUCGGAGGAUGCUGAUUAAUUCAUGAUGGAAAGCUCUUUUUGGACUAAAAGGCCCUCAGCAUUCCUGGCAAUUUCUACACUCCUGAAGCUUCAUCUGGAGACGUCUGUGGAUUCUAUAACUCAAAGACCCAGGCUGAUGGCUGGUGGAAUAGCUACCAUCUCAAACAUGGCGUGAUGCUGCAUCAGAGGGAAAAAUAAGCUCUUGCACUGGCAAUGAAAUGUCUACCCUGUAGUGACUUGUGCUUACUUCCACUCACAAAUGAUUGCCCAGAGCUACUUACCUGGCUCCAAUCUACCACUGGGUGUGUACGUGCAAUCUACUGUGUACCUAGAAGAUGAGAGGAACAAAUUAUUAAUGAUGACCAC
This 398-nucleotide non-coding RNA is filed under the name Pongo abelii (Sumatran orangutan). The record is from RNAcentral. Lineage: Eukaryota; Metazoa; Chordata; Mammalia; Primates; Hominidae.